CAAGUCGCACGAGAAAGGGGAGCAAUCCCUGAGUAAAGUGGCGCACGGGUGAGUAACACGUGAAUCAUCUACCUCCGAGUGGGGAAUAACCUAGAGAAAUCUGGGCUAAUACCGCAUAACACUUACGAGUCAAAGCAGCAAUGCGCUUGGAGAGGAGUUCGCGGCCGAUUAGCUAGUUGGCGGGGUAAUGGCCCACCAAGGCGAUGAUCGGUAUCCGGCCUGAGAGGGCGCACGGACACACUGGAACUGAAACACGGUCCAGACUCCUACGGGAGGCAGCAGUGGGGAAUUUUGCGCAAUGGGGGAAACCCUGACGCAGCAACGCCGCGUGGAGGAUGAAAUAUCUUGGUAUGUAAACUCCUUUCGAUGGGGAAGAUUAUGACGGUACCCAUAGAAGAAGCCCCGGCUAACUUCGUGCCAGCAGCCGCGGUAAUACGAGGGGGGCAAGCGUUGUUCGGAUUUAUUGGGCGUAAAGGGUGCGUAGGCGGUUUGGCAAGUCUUAUGUGAAAUCUUCGGGCUCAACCCGAAGCCUGCAUAAGAAACUGCCGGGCUUGAGUAUGGGAGAGGUGAGUGGAAUUUCCGGUGUAGCGGUGAAAUGCGUAGAUAUCGGAAGGAACACCUGUGGCGAAAGCGGCUCACUGGACCAUAACUGACGCUGAUGCACGAAAGCUAGGGGAGCAAACAGGAUUAGAUACCCUGGUAGUCCUAGCCCUAAACGAUGAUUGCUUGAUGUGGCAGGUACCCAAUCCUGCCGUGUCGAAGCUAACGCGAUAAGCAAUCCGCCUGGGGAGUACGGUCGCAAGGCUGAAACUCAAAGGAAUUGACGGGGGCCCGCACAAGCGGUGGAGCAUGUGGUUUAAUU
This 862-nucleotide ribosomal RNA is filed under the name uncultured Terriglobales bacterium. RNAcentral's name for it is "bacterial SSU rRNA". It matches the Rfam family "Bacterial small subunit ribosomal RNA", at positions 58 to 951 of the family's 1533-position model. Lineage: Bacteria; Pseudomonadati; Acidobacteriota; Terriglobia; Terriglobales. The record is from RNAcentral.